This 293-nucleotide ribosomal RNA is filed under the name uncultured bacterium. Its description in RNAcentral is "partial 16S ribosomal RNA". It matches the Rfam family "Archaeal small subunit ribosomal RNA", at positions 455 to 747 of the family's 1478-position model. The record is from RNAcentral.
GUGCCAGCCGCCGCGGUACUACCGGCAGCCCGAGUGAUGGCCGAUCUUAUUGGGCCUAAAGCGUCCGUAGCUGGCCGCACAAGUCCGUCGGGAAAUCCACUCGCUUAACGAGUGGGCGUCCGGCGGAAACUGUGCGGCUUGGGACCGGAAGAUCCAAGGGGUACGUUCGGGGUAGGAGUGAAAUCCCAUAAUCCCGCACGGACCACCGAUGGCGAAAGCACUUCGAGAAAACGGAUCCGACAGUGAGGGACGAAAGCCAGGGUCUCCAACCGGAUUAGAAACCCUGGUAGUCC